RNAcentral lists this ribosomal RNA (1247 nucleotides) under uncultured bacterium. RNAcentral's name for it is "bacterial SSU rRNA". It matches the Rfam family "Bacterial small subunit ribosomal RNA", at positions 152 to 1399 of the family's 1533-position model. The record is from RNAcentral.
GGAAACGACUGCUAAGACUGGAUAGGAGACAAGAAGGCAUCUUCUUGUUUUUAAAAGACCUAGCAAUAGGUAUGCUUAGGGAGGAGCUUGCGUCACAUUAGUUAGUUGGUGGGGUAAAGGCCUACCAAGACUAUGAUGUGUAGCCGGGCUGAGAGGUUGAACGGCCACAUUGGGACUGAGACACGGCCCAAACUCCUACGGGAGGCAGCAGUAGGGAAUUUUCGGCAAUGGAGGAAACUCUGACCAAGCAACGCCGCGUGAACGAUGAAGUAUUUCGGUACGUAAAGUUCUUUUAUUAGGGAAGAAUAAAUGAUGGAAAAAUCAUUCUGACGGUACCUAAUGAAUAAGCCCCGGCUAACUAUGUGCCAGCAGCCGCGGUAAUACAUAGGGGGCAAGCGUUAUCCGGAAUUAUUGGGCGUAAAGGGUGCGUAGGCGGUUAAAUAAGUUUAUGGUCUAAGCGCAAUGCUCAACAUUGUGAUGCUAUAAAAACUGUUUAGCUAGAGUAAGAUAGAGGCAAGUGGAAUUCCGUGUGUAGUGGUAAAAUGCGUAAAUAUAUGGAGGAACACCAGUAGCGAAGGCGGCUUGCUGGGUCUUUACUGACGCUGAGGCACGAAAGCGUGGGGAGCAAACAGGAUUAGAUACCCUGGUAGUCCACGCCGUAAACGAUGAGUACUAAACGUUGGUUAAAACCAGUGUUGAAGUUAACACAUUAAGUACUCCGCCUGAGUAGUACGUACGCAAGUAUGAAACUUAAAGGAAUUGACGGGACUCCGCACAAGCGGUGGAUCAUGUUGUUUAAUUCGAAGGUACCCGAAAAACCUCACCAGGUCUUGACAUGCUUCUGCAAAGCUGUAGAAACACAGUGGAGGUUAUCAGUUGCACAGGUGGUGCAUGGUUGUCGUCAGCUCGUGUCGUGAGAUGUUGGGUUAAGUCCCGCAACGAGCGCAACCCUUAUUGUUAGUUACCAGCACGUAAUGGUGGGGACUUUAGCAAGACUGCCAGUGAUAAAUUGGAGGAAGGUGGGGACGGCGUCAAAUCAUCAUGCCCCUUAUGACCUGGGCUACAAACGUGAUACAAUGGCUGUUACAAAGGGUAGCUGAAGCGCAAGUUUUUGGCGAAUCUCAAAAAAACAGUCUCAGUUCGGAUUGAAGUCUGCAACUCGACUUCAUGAAGUUGGAAUCGCUAGUAAUCGCGAAUCAGCAUGUCGCGGUGAAUACGUUCUCGGGGUUUGUACACACCGCCCGUCA